RNAcentral lists this ribosomal RNA (468 nucleotides) under uncultured bacterium. RNAcentral's name for it is "partial 16S ribosomal RNA". It matches the Rfam family "Bacterial small subunit ribosomal RNA", at positions 28 to 507 of the family's 1533-position model. The record is from RNAcentral.
GACGAACGCUGGCGGCGUGCUUAACACAUGCAAGUCGAACGGAAAGGCCCUGCUUUUGUGGGGUGCUCGAGUGGCGAACGGGUGAGUAACACGUGAGUAACCUGCCCUUGACUUUGGGAUAACUUCAGGAAACUGGGGCUAAUACCGGAUAGGAGCUCCUGCUGCAUGGUGGGGGUUGGAAAGUUUCGGCGGUUGGGGAUGGACUCGCGGCUUAUCAGCUUGUUGGUGGGGUAGUGGCUUACCAAGGCUUUGACGGGUAGGCGGCCUGAGAGGGUGACCGGCCACAUUGGGACUGAGAUACGGCCCAGACGCCUACGGGAGGCAGCAGUGGGGAAUAUUGCACAAUGGGCGGAAGCCUGAUGCAGCAACGCCGCGUGCGGGAUGACGGCCUUCGGGUUGUAAACCGCUUUCGCCUGUGACGAAGCGGGAGUGACGGUAAUGGGUAAAGAAGCACCGGCUAACUACGUG